AUAAAGGCAAUGACCGUGUAAGUAGUGAGCCAUUUUCCGCUAGAGAGAGGGAAUCGACAGGCUGAAAGUUCCCUUGGGUUCAGAUGGUGAAUGAAUUUCCCGCGCGAGCUGUGUUCUUGAAAUAAAAGUAGAGAAUGCCGUAUGAUGCACGUUACGCAGUAAUGAGUGUCCGCAAAAAUAUUUUGCGGGAAUCAGGGUGGUACCACGGGUUAUAUGUCUCGUCCCUUUU
This 229-nucleotide non-coding RNA is filed under the name Dorea longicatena. RNAcentral describes it as "T-box sequence". It matches the Rfam family "T-box leader". From Rfam's summary of the family: Uncharged tRNA acts as the effector for transcription antitermination of genes in the T-box leader family. T-boxes are found upstream of many aminoacyl-tRNA synthetase genes and some amino acid biosynthetic genes usually in Gram-positive bacteria. The anticodon of a specific tRNA base pairs to a specifier sequence within the T-box motif, and the NCCA acceptor tail of the tRNA base pairs to a conserved bulge in the T-box antiterminator hairpin. Lineage: Bacteria; Bacillati; Bacillota; Clostridia; Lachnospirales; Lachnospiraceae. The record is from RNAcentral.